AGCGCGGGGCAACCUGGCGGCGAGCGGCGAACGGGUGAGUAAUGCAUCGGAACAUGUCCAUGUCGUGGGGGAUAGCCCGGCGAAAGCCGGAUUAAUACCGCAUACGCCCGAGAGGGGAAAGUGGGGGACCGCAAGGCCUCACGCGAUUGGGUUGGCCGAUGUCCGAUUAGCUAGUUGGCGGGGUAAGAGCCCACCAAGGCGAUGAUCGGUAGCUGGUCUGAGAGGAUGAUCGGCCACACUGGGACUGAGACACGGCCCAGACUCCUACGGGAGGCAGCAGUGGGGAAUUUUGGACAAUGGGGGCAACCCUGAUCCAGCCAUUCCGCGUGAGUGAAGAAGGCCUUCGGGUUGUAAAGCUCUUUUGUCCGGAACGAAACGGUUGGCGUGAAUAUCGCCGACUACUGACGGUACCGGAAGAAUAAGCACCGACUAACUACGUGCCAGCAGCCGCGGUAAUACGUAGGGUGCGAGCGUUAAUCGGAAUUACUGGGCGUAAAGCGUGCGCAGGCGGUUUUGUAAGCCAGAUGUGAAAUCCCCGGGCUCAACCUGGGAAUGGCAUCUGGGACUGCAAGGCUGGAGUUUGGCAGAGGAGACUGGAAUUCCCGGUGUAGCAGUGAAAUGCGUAGAUAUCGGGAGGAAUACCGAUGGCGAAGGCAGGUCUCUGGGCUAUAACUGACGCUCAUGCACGAAAGCGUGGGGAGCAAACAGGAUUAGAUACCCUGGUAGUCCACGCCCUAAACGAUGUCGACUGGUUGUUGGGGGUUUGACACUCU
This 773-nucleotide ribosomal RNA is filed under the name uncultured Pseudomonadota bacterium. RNAcentral's name for it is "bacterial SSU rRNA". It matches the Rfam family "Bacterial small subunit ribosomal RNA", at positions 71 to 840 of the family's 1533-position model. Lineage: Bacteria; Pseudomonadati; Pseudomonadota. The record is from RNAcentral.